GAAAAGAUAGGGUUGCUGACAUGGAAUCAACGGGAGUAGUGAGUGCAGAAGAGAUAGAAAGGGGCAUAAGACGUGUGAUGGAUGGCGAGAGUGAAAUGAGAAAGAAAAUGAAGGAAUUGAAAGACGCCUGCAGGAAAGCCACUCAACCGGGUGGUUCAUCUUACACUUCACUUGGGGAGUUUAUCCAGGAUGUCACGAAUAGCAUCAGGGAAGGAGCUCUAAACUGAAUGAAUAAUACUUGCAAAGCUUUGAACUCGAGUUAUAACUAAACCACAUAUACAACUUGAGUUUCUGGCAAAUGUGGCACACUGUUUAUCUAGUUAUCCAUAUAUUCUGUAUAUGCUACCAAUGAAUAAGCAUGAGGUGAAUAUGUUUGCUUCAGUUCUUUCGUCCCAUGUCGGAUACUUCACAUGUUUCUAACUAUUCUUGUUGUUUAAAAAUCAAUAAAAGAAGUAAACAGGUAGUGGUUGUGAAAGGUUAGGAUGGAAAACGAAACGGAAUGUAAAACUUUUACUAAUUUUUAGAUUUCGUUGUAGGCUCUUUGGCCACCCAGAGAGUUUGUUUCCAGGUAAUUUUGUGUAAAUUUCAAACAUAGGUGCUCGAAGCCAAACAUUCAGAUAUGUUAACUUUAUAUUUACUAGAUUGAGUUACACAAGCUAUCCUUUCUUCUCAUCUUUUAAAUUAAAAAUGCAAAUUUUUGGUUAAUUAGUCAGCAAUCUAAUCUUGCAAUUAAAAAUUUAGAAUCAACAGAAUAUGGCUAGCACAGCUUGAUGAAUCCUCUUCUCUGCAGACUGCUUGAAGACGGUGAGCCUGAUGUGACGACGGAGGUAGCAUGGGUACUUUAUAAGAAGUUCAUGAACUUGUCUUGGACAUGGAAGGAAAUCUGGCUGCAUAAAAUGAUAUUUAGUUUGGAUUUUUUUAGCAAGUCUACGGAGUUCAUUAGAAUAGUGAACAAGUGUUGUGGGAGGUUAGUAGUACAGAGUUCUGGGGGACAGAAUUAUUAAAGCAAAACUUAAAAUUUUACCCACUCUGGACCAUAAGCUUAUUGCAAUCAAGUAUCAACAUACAAAAAACAUGCACAAGAAAAUGUGAAUGACAUGGAUAAAAUAAUAGCAUCUUUAAACAAUGAAGAGAUCAUCCAAUCCACAAAAGGAGAGUAGCAUUUUCCUCAACAACAACAAAAAAAAACUUUCAUACUAUAACCAUACUUUUAUCAAACGGUGAGAAAAACAAGUGGUAGGUGAAUCGGGUAGGUGAAUUGGGGGUUAUGCAAAAAAUCUUAUUUUCACGGAGAAAAGCAUUCCAACACCAAAGCUUUCACUAUCUUUACCACACACUUCAAGUUCUCUGAUCCGCUCUGCAUUUUUUGUCACAGUACAAAAAUACAUCGUUUAGUCCUCAUCUUUUAAGUAAGUACUAUGCUUAAAAUUCAUUCUCAUUACAAUAAACACAAAUGGAGAAAAUGGAUUAAUCGAAGUAUCCUGCACCCUAAUUUUCUUAGAACCCUAAUUUUCGCUCUCCGCGCGAUUGUGCAAGAUAAACCUCUUUUGGACCAAAAUGAUUUAUAGGAUUACAUGUCAGAUAUCAGUGUUUUAAUUUUAAUUUCUUGUUUUUGUCAUGUCGGCAUUGACUAAAAUCGUUAGUUCCCUUUUAACGGGAGGAUGUGAAUCAGAAAAAUUCGAAAAUUUAAAGAUCACGUUAUUGGGAGAAAAAAAGAAAUAGGGGCCUGAAUAAUAUAUAAGCAGUUCAAGGACGUCUGAAUUUAUGAUCCCAUCUAUAAACAGCAGUAGGAAUAAAGGCUUUUGUCUUAAAGUUGUUAUCUUGUACUAUGUCAUGAUGAUCACGCCCCUUGUUGUUUCUAUACCAAUCUAUGCUUAAGUUUUGUUGUUUCAAUUUGUUUAUCUCGUUCAACUAAGAACAAAUUAUGAAAGCGGAGCUAAUAAUUAUCCCCGCUCCGGGGGCUGGUCACCUGCUAUCCAUGGUUGAGCUCGCCAAGCUCAUUGCUAGUCGAGAUGAGCGAAUUUCUGUGAGCGUCCUGAUAAUCAGGCUCCCUUUUGAGUCCAGCAUCGAUGGUUUCGACAAAGAUGCUCCUGGAAACUUAGCCUUUCUAGAUGUCCCUGCUCUCGACGACAUCGCCUUGGCAGAGCUCAUGUCCUUGCCUCGGGUAUCUUUCCUCCAUUCCUUCAUUACGAAGCACCGAACCGCGGUGAGAGACGUGGUCUCUGCAAUUCUGAAGCGCUCCGAGUGCUCUAAGCUAUGUGGAUUUGUCAUUGAUAUGUUCUGCCUCUCGAUGAUAGACGUGGCGAAUGAGUUCAAUGUCCCGGCUUUUGCGUUCUUCACUUCUGGCGCGGCUUUUCUUUCGCUCCAGUUUUAUAUCCAAGCUCUCAAAGAUGUUGAGGGGAUAGAUAUAUAUAAGUACAAGGAGUUGGAUGUUGAGAGGCUGGCUUUCUCGGGUUUUCUUAAUCCAGUUCCUGUCGAGGUUUUGCCUUCGGUGAUGCUGACAAAGGAUGGGUGUCCUGUGGUCAUUGCUGCAGCCCGAAGAUUACGGGAGACCAAGGCUAUUUUGAUCAACACGGUGUGGGAACUCGAAUCCCACGCUAUUAAAUCCCUCUCUGAUGAUGGUAAUGCCCCUGGUAUAUACCAUGUAGGCCCUGUAAUUAAUUUCAAGAGGGGCGAGGCAGGAGAGGAUGUUAUUGUUACCUGGUUGGACAGGCAGCCACCUAGCUCGGUGGUGUAUUUGUGCUUCGGGAGCAGUGGAAGCUUUGAUGGAGAACAAGUUGGGGAGAUAGCGCGUGCCUUGGAGCUCAGUGGACAGCGUUAUUUGUGGUCUCUACGACGCCCGUCUCAAGGAAAGGAUCAAGUGGAAGUGCUAAAAGAUUAUGAUGACUACAACGAGGUGUUGCCCCAGGGGUUUUUAGAGAGGACAUCUGGAAAAGGGAAAAUUAUUGGAUGGGCGCCGCAGUUGAGUAUCCUUGCCCAUCCAAGUGUGGGAGGAUUCGUGUCUCAUUGUGGAUGGAACUCUAUCUUAGAAAGUAUAUGGUGCGGUGUGCCAAUAGCCACUUGGCCUAUGUAUGCUGAGCAGCAAGUGAACGCGUUCCAGCUGGUGGUGGACUUGGGGUUAGCAGCCGAGAUUAAGAUGGAUUACAGAAAAGACAGGGCUGCUCACAUGGAAUCAACGGGAGUAGUGAGUGCAGAAGAGAUAGAAAGGGGCAUAAGACGUGUGAUGGACGGCGAGAGUGAAAUGAGGAAGAAAAUGAAGGAGAUGAAAGACGCCUGCAGAAAAGCCACUCAACUGGGUGGUUCAUCUUACACUUCACUGGGGGAGUUUAUCCAGGAUGUCACCAAUAGCAUCAGGGAAGGAGC
RNAcentral lists this long non-coding RNA (3363 nucleotides) under Daucus carota (carrot). RNAcentral's name for it is "long non-coding RNA (DCAR_LNC004408)". The record is from RNAcentral. Lineage: Eukaryota; Viridiplantae; Streptophyta; Magnoliopsida; Apiales; Apiaceae.